Molecule: ribosomal RNA, 215 nt
Filed under: Salmonella enterica subsp. enterica serovar Chester
Lineage: Bacteria; Pseudomonadati; Pseudomonadota; Gammaproteobacteria; Enterobacterales; Enterobacteriaceae
Description: partial 16S ribosomal RNA
Rfam family: Bacterial small subunit ribosomal RNA
Source: RNAcentral
UGACGAGUGGCGGACGGGUGAGUAAUGUCUGGGAAACUGCCUGAUGGAGGGGGAUAACUACUGGAAACGGUGGCUAAUACCGCAUAACGUCGCAAGACCAAAGAGGGGGACCUUCGGGCCUCUUGCCAUCAGAUGUGCCCAGAUGGGAUUAGCUUGUUGGUGAGGUAACGGCUCACCAAGGCGACGAUCCCUAGCUGGUCUGAGAGGAUGACCAG